UGUCACAUAUGCUGUGUUUAUAUACAAGUGUGGACUAAUACGAUGGACAAGAGAAAUAGCUGGUGUUGGUAUUAACAGUGGUGAUGGGUAUUAUAUCAUUCAUCCACUAGCUAAUACUUACAAUGUUACUAACAUAGACUGCUAUGAUGCAGUAUCUGAAUGGACUAAUAUUGUAUACAGACUAGAUCAAGUUAUAGAUAAGUUUGAGUUCCUAUCCAUUACACCUCACAGUAUCACAGUAUCAUGGAAUAUCAUCCCUAACAACAACAGUACACUUAUUCUGAGUAUUACUGAUUCACUUCAAACAGUUAAUGAAACAAUUAACGUUACUGAAUAUGACAAUGUAUACAAUUUUAUUACAAACCUCUUUUCUUGUAAUGUAUAUACCUUCAAACUAGCACUGCCCGUGUCAAGUGAAUGUAAUGACAGCAUUAGAAUCAUAUCAACAGCAUUGACACCAAAACCUGACAAUGUAUCUGCAUUAUAUCUAACCAAUGAAACAAUAAUCAUAAGA
This is a long non-coding RNA of Amphimedon queenslandica, 514 nucleotides long. RefSeq lists it as uncharacterized. The record is from RefSeq and is a predicted model, not a curated record. NCBI's taxonomy places the organism in Eukaryota, Metazoa, Porifera, Demospongiae, Haplosclerida, Niphatidae. The transcript is spliced from 3 exons.